Molecule: ribosomal RNA, 673 nt
Filed under: Calonarius violaceipes
Lineage: Eukaryota; Fungi; Basidiomycota; Agaricomycetes; Agaricales; Cortinariaceae
Description: eukaryotic LSU rRNA
Rfam family: 5.8S ribosomal RNA (bases 296-449)
Source: RNAcentral
GAAGUAAAAGUCGUAACAAGGUUUCCGUAGGUGAACCUGCGGAAGGAUCAUUAUUGAAAUAAACUUGAUAAGUUGCUGCUGGUUCUCUAGGGAACAAUGUGCACACUUGUCAUCUUUGUAUCUUCACCUGUGCACCUUUUGUAGACCUGAUUAUCUCUCUGAAUGCUUUAUAGCACUCAGGAUUGAGGAUUGACUUCUUGUCUCUUCUUACAUUUUCAGGUCUAUGUUUCUUCAUAUACCCCAAUGUAUGUUUAUAGAAUGUAAUUAAUGGGCCUUUGUGCCUAUAAACCUUUACAACUUUCAGCAACGGAUCUCUUGGCUCUCGCAUCGAUGAAGAACGCAGCGAAAUGCGAUAAGUAAUGUGAAUUGCAGAAUUCAGUGAAUCAUCGAAUCUUUGAACGCACCUUGCGCUCCUUGGUAUUCCGAGGAGCAUGCCUGUUUGAGUGUCAUUAAUAUUAUCAACCUUUUGGGUUGGAUUUGGGUUUGCUGGCCUCUAUCAGGUCAGCUCCCCUUAAAUGCAUUAGCAGACAACAUUUUGCCAAAUGUUCAUUGGUGUGAUAAUUAUCUACGCUAUUGACAUGAAGCAAAGGUUCAGCUUCUAACUGUCCAUUGACUUGGACAACUUUAUUAAUGUGACCUCAAAUCAGGUAGGACUACCCGCUGAACUUAAGCA